Molecule: long non-coding RNA, 4876 nt
Organism: Mesocricetus auratus (golden hamster)
Lineage: Eukaryota; Metazoa; Chordata; Mammalia; Rodentia; Cricetidae
Exons: 2
Source: RefSeq, a predicted model, not a curated record
CCAUCAACUUCCGAGAGACCACAAAGGCUCUAGGCUCCUCUGUAUCCCAGACUCUGGCCACCAGCGGGCACACACUGUGGGUUUGCUGGGGGAAACGAGGCAUGCGGGCACUUUCCAGGAGGAGAUAAGCUAAGGAGAGCACGGGUUUGAAAGAUGAGGAUCGGGUGGGGGAGGAGAGAUGCCAUCUCAUAUUCCAGCAGAAGGCAGAGACCCAAGGGUUCCCUCGCUGUUUCGGAAGGAGAAACUAAGGUACCGACGCCAGGCGUGUGUUUGAGCUGAAGAGUCGAGCCCCACCCUCCAGCCCAGAUGGGCAGUGCCACUGCUCAGCCAGCUGCUCUGGAAGAUGUAAAGUGCUAUCUAAACACGGUGCAUUAUAAACACUUUAGAAAUCGUAUUUCACAGCUGCCCGCCCGGAGCUGGAAGAUGAAUUCCUCCUCCUGCUCUCUGGCAGCAGAAUUAUCCUUGGAGCUCAACGCGGCAGCAAUGAUAUGUGAGUGGGGCCAGGACGGAGCAGGCCACGGUGGAAGACGCAUCAUCGGAGCAUCCUACAGACCAACCUCCAUGCCAUUUAAACUAGGCAUGCUUCACAGCACGCCCGAAGACUACAAGGAUGACUGGACCACAGAACGUCACAGAUUCAGGGAACUUGACUUCCAGAGACCUUCUUGAAAAGAAAACAUGAAACACGUCCAGGAAACAGGAGAGUGUUCAGCUGGAGGAGGAGCACAAAAGGCAGAGGACAGAAAACAGGCUUGACUGGAGCAGGUUCAAGGGGACCAAACCGGGAGGCAGCGGUAAGAGAUGCUUCACCUGAUACCCAGCUAAAAGGCACAAGACCACAGACUGGCUUCGCCAGGCCUGGGACGAGAACCGGAAGUGCUCGGCGAGUGGUAAUAUACUACCACCAAUCGUCUGUCAGACAUCGUUUUUACGAAGGCUGCACCCACACAGCCGAGGCGUCCUGAAAACUCACCGGGCUUGACUGAGACGAAUCUCCAUUACCAGACAGUGGAAUAUCCUUAGCCAGGAAUUAUGCCAAUGGUCAUCUGAGCCAUAUGAUCCCCAGACCCCCACUCUCCACCCCAGGCAGGUUAGCAUUUCCAGCCCACAUUACGCAACGCGUCCGAGUUCCUUUGCAUUAUCCGAAGAGGGCUGGGAUUUUAGCAGAACUCUGUCUCGGUGCCUCCUUCAGCCAAUGCUGAUUCCACAGCAGGCACCGAGUGCAGCUUAAUCAGAUGAGGAAACAACGCAGGCAAGGACUUCUAAUUCAGGCUGUACUGCAGCUUCCAGGCGUCAAUCCUAGCUUUUCCUCGGGGGUCACGUAAAACGAAUCUAAUUCUCUUCCACAUGAUAGUCCUUUAAGUAUGAGAGGCGAGUUAUGACAUUCCCCCCGAGUCUCCUUUACCUCUGACCAGAGAUCCUUCAUCUCUAACGCUGCUGCUGCUCCCACAGGCACCUCCCUGUAAACACACUGCAUCUUCUCUCUCGACCCCAGAUGGACACUGCUCAACUCUCUGGACCCCAGACGGACACUGCUCAAUCCAUAACCUCGGCUCUCCUCAUAAGCAAAAGCACCCUGGCAGAACUGGGUACAUAAUCCCCCGUCCCACACAAGAACAUCUCACUAAGGUCACUGGGGAUGGAGCUCCUCAGCGGGUAACGCUAGCCCAUCUUAGUCCUCCUCUUAUUGGGGUGGGUCGUUACCUAAUUUUCCAUGCCUAGAUCUGGAUCGGGAUUUGCACGGGCCAGGCACGCGUGUGCUCUACUGUUGAGCCCACCCCUAGUCCUUAGCCAUCUUGCCUCAUGGGCCACAAUAGAACUUUCUAGUUGAAAGCAGGAGCUUUCCUCACAGGUCCUGCAGGACCCACACACAUGGUUUUUCUGUGACUGCCUACCCUCUGGUAUUUCCUCUUCACUUUUGGGGUUAUAAUAUAAUUACAUCACUUCUGCCUUCCUUUUCUUCCCAUAUACCUUGUUGCUGGCUUUCAAAGUUAUGUUCCGCCCCUCUCCACCGACUGCGGUUACAUGUGCAUGUGUGUGACACAUAUACUCCUAAAUAUAACCGUCCAGUCUGUAUAUUACGUGCAUGUUUUCAGGGCUGGCCAUUUGCCAUCAGACAAACAAGCAGUGUGCUCUUCCCUGGGGAAGAGCAUUUCUCCAGCUCAGCAUCCUUUGGUCCUCUGCUGAGGCAUCCUGGGCGUGCUUCUAUUCACAUUAGCAAGCCAGUUGUUGCCCUUGUUCAGCACUCAUGCUGGUGAGGCUCCAUGGGGGGAGCUUCUGACAUUCCCAGGAAACAUGAUCUCAUGGCAAAACUCCCUGUUCUUAGCCACCCCUCUUCCAUAAGCAUCCUUGAGCCUUCAGUUCUGGAGCUGUAUUAUAGGUGUUCCCAUUGGAACUGGGCCCCGCCACUUCUCAUCUUGAUUACCCAUGGUUUUCUGCCUGUUACGAAGAGUUUCCUUGAUAAGGGGUGAGGACUACACUGAUCUGUGUGUUUCCAGGGUUUUGCUUUGGGCCUGUCUGUGGCGAACUCAUUUAAUCAUACGGUCUGUGCAUACAUUUGUACAUAUUUGUGCAUGUAUGAAUGCAUGCAGUUGUGGUGGAGGUCAGAGGUCGACAUUGGGUUUAUUUUUUUGAGACGGGGUCUUUCACUAAACCCGCAACUUACAUAUUCACAAGACUAGCUGGCCAGCAAAACCUAAGGAUCCUCCUGCCACCUGACCCUCCAGCACUAGGAUGACAUGUUUCCACUACUAUGCCUGGCUUUUUCCAUGGGUACUAAGGAUCUAAAUUCAGUCAUAUUUGUGUGGCAAGCAUUUUACUGACUGAGCAGUCUCCCCAGCCUUUAGUGACAUGACUUUAAACAUGUGUUCUGGUGUCCUAUCUCUGCUCAGAACACCCCCUCAAGACCUAGAUGCAUCUAUUAAAUGGCCUAUUUAACAUCCCUCCUUGGGUAUCUAAUUAGUAUCUCACACUUAACUAACGAAGCUCCUGGGCUGGAGAUACAGUUCAGUGGUAGAAUAUAUGCUUGGCACAUAAGAUGCCCUGGAUUUCAUCCCCCAAAGUGAAACUGAGCCUCUGGUUUUCACCCUGACCCUAUACUGUCAGUACAUAACAAUUUCACUCCUCCAGAACUUAAAGCAAAACAUAUCACCCGAGUCCUAUUUCUUUCUUGCCUAGUACCCAAACCACCAGUCAAUAGUGGUAGUUCUAAGUUCAAAGUAACUCUAGAGAUGGGUACCUGAUGCUAGCCACCAUUUCAUGCCAAGACAGCUAGAGUAGCCAUGGAGACCCCACUCCUUCCUUCCUAGGUUCACUCUUAACAUAGCAGCCAGAAUAACUGUUCAAACAGAAAUUCUAACAUGUGGCUCCUCUGCCUACUUCAUCCCUCCCCCGACCCACAGAUGGCUUCUGAUAUUGUUGAGAAGCCAUGGUCCUGAGAAUUCCUUCAAAGCCUGCUCUUAAAAAGCUUGUCUGGUCUUCAUUCUAGUUCCAAGCUCUAAGGACUUCGGAGUGACAGGAGUAGUUUUGCUACUCAUGCUAGACCCACAGAUGGUUUUUUGUUUGUUUGUUUUCGUUUGGUUUGGUUUUUGCUUGUUUGAGACAGAGUCUCAUGUAGCCCAAAAUGAUCUGAACUAGCUAUAAAGCUAAGGACAACCCCGAACUCCUAAGCCUCCCACUUCUGCUCAAGUGUUGGGAUUACAGGAGUGUGCCAUUGUGCCCAGCUCCACACCUGGGUUAAUGCUAGGGAGGCUAGAGGCUGCAAACUCAACUGAGAAACUCCAGUAAACACCCCAGACACUCAGGGCUCCAGAAGCUUCUAGUUACUGAAUGCAUGACUUGUGGAGGAUGUUAGUCUUGAUUCCUCAAGCAGAGGACAUGGCAGCUCCAUCUGAAACCUUCUCAGAUCUCUAUGGCAGGUCUCUUUGAAAACCGUACGACUUUUCCGAACUCUGUGAGACAUUCGUGAAGUUAUCAAAUCCAAUAGGGUCGUGGCAGCUCCUGAACUUGAGACUGGCAUUCGAAGUGCAGGGAAUUUUGCUGGGCCAUGUUCUGCACUGUGUGAAAUCUGCCCUGUGUCCAAGGUGAUGAGGGUCAGAAAUGGGCUGUGGCACUGAAGACAUGGCCUGCACUGCACGCUGCUUUACGAACCCACACCGCACCCUCCACAGCCAUUGUUUCCCUCGAUUCACCACACCCGUGUCAGCUUUUGCUCAGCUACACCAGGCACAUUCCUGCGUCUCACCUGUGCCUUUCUCUCCUCUGGAUCUUUCCUAAGUUGCUGCUUUCUGAGUAAGCUCUCCAGCCCAUUAUGGUUUGGAUCGUAUGUUAUGGUUUGCUCUUCCCAAAGCCCAUGCACUAAAGGCUGGAUGAUGCUGUCGGGAGACGGUGAGAUCUUCAGGCGGGUGAGGUGACUGGGAUUCUGCUCUUUCCUCUCUCUGCUUCCUGGCUGCUGUGAGAUAAGCAGCUUGGUUCUGCCACACACUCUCCACUAAGAUGUUCUGCUUCACCACCAAAGCAAUGGGGCCAAGCAACUGCGGACUAAAGUCACGGGCCAGGAUAAACCUUUCCUCCUUAUAGGUUGCUCAAAUAUUUGUUACAGCCACAGAAAUUUGACUGAUUUAAACUGUCGACCAGCUUUGCCACAUCCUAGACUCCCCUCCUACUGCUUGAUUGUUCUCCAUGACCCUUACCACUGCUCCUAUUGUAACUGAGUAUUCAUAUUGUAAUUAUUAAUUUAUCUACUGGAUCUUUCCUUUAUAGAUCUAAGAGGUGGGCAUUUUCUUUUCCUGUUUUAGUUAUUACUGUCAACACAGCACUUAGAAAAUACAUCAGGAGAUUUAAAGCGUUAAAUGGAUAAAUUAGAUUGUUAAAGCUU